GAUGAACGCUGGCGGCGUGCCUAAUACAUGCAAGUCGAGCGAACAGACGAGGAGCUUGCUCCUUCGACGUUAGCGGCGGACGGGUGAGUAACACGUAGGUAACCUACCUAUAAGACUGGGAUAACUUCGGGAAACCGGAGCUAAUACCGGAUAAUAUUUCGAACCGCAUGGUUCGAUAGUGCAAGAUGGCUUUGCUAUCACUUAUAGCUGGACCUGCGCCGUAUUAGCUAGUUGGUAAGGUAACGGCUUACCAAGGCAACGAUACGUAGCCGACCUGAGAGGGUGAUCGGCCACACUGGAACUGAGACACGGUCCAGACUCCUACGGGAGGCAGCAGUAGGGAAUCUUCCGCAAUGGGCGAAAGCCUGACGGAGCAACGCCGCGUGAGUGAUGAAGGUCUUCGGAUCGUAAAACUCUGUUAUUAGGGAAGAACAAACGUGUAAGUAACUGUGCACGUCUUGACGGUACCUAAUCAGAAAGCCACGGCUAACUACGUG
RNAcentral lists this ribosomal RNA (497 nucleotides) under uncultured bacterium. RNAcentral describes it as "partial 16S ribosomal RNA". It matches the Rfam family "Bacterial small subunit ribosomal RNA", at positions 28 to 507 of the family's 1533-position model. The record is from RNAcentral.